RNAcentral lists this long non-coding RNA (201 nucleotides) under Elaeis guineensis (African oil palm). RNAcentral describes it as "long non-coding RNA (EGUI_LNC005778)". Lineage: Eukaryota; Viridiplantae; Streptophyta; Magnoliopsida; Arecales; Arecaceae. The record is from RNAcentral.
AUGGGGCAGCAAACUUGGCUUUUCUUACACCUUCGCAUGCAUGUGUGGAGAAAGAGGGUGUACCGAGAGCAUAAAACAAUGUGGACUGGUUAGCCAAAGUACUUGGUCCAUUUGAGCUUGAGACCAGGUGUAUGACCUACUUUUCACUUCCUAAACUUCUUUAGAAUCAAACAUUUGCCUGCCUGAAUUCCAAGUGCUCUC